This 384-nucleotide ribosomal RNA is filed under the name uncultured prokaryote. Its description in RNAcentral is "bacterial SSU rRNA". It matches the Rfam family "Archaeal small subunit ribosomal RNA", at positions 341 to 725 of the family's 1478-position model. The record is from RNAcentral.
GCGAAAACUUUACAAUGCUGGCAACAGCGAUAAGGGAACCUCGAGUGCCAGGUUACAAAUCUGGCUGUCGAGAUGCCUAUAAAGCAUUUCAUAGCAAGGGCCGGGCAAGACUGGUGCCAGCCGCCGCGGUAACACCGGCGGCUCGAGUGGUAACCGUUAUUAUUGGGUCUAAAGGGUCUGUAGCCGGCCGGAUAAGUCUCUUGAGAAAUCUGGCAGCUUAACUGUCAGGCUUUCAGGAGAUACUGUCUGGCUCGAGGCCGGGAGAGGUGAGAGGUACUUCAGGGGUAGGGGUGAAAUCUUGUAAUCCUUGGAGGACCACCAGUGGCGAAGGCGUCUCACCAGAACGGACCUGACGGCAAGGGACGAAAGCUAGGGGCACGAACC